Molecule: ribosomal RNA, 591 nt
Filed under: Priestia megaterium
Lineage: Bacteria; Bacillati; Bacillota; Bacilli; Caryophanales; Bacillaceae
Description: bacterial SSU rRNA
Rfam family: Bacterial small subunit ribosomal RNA
Source: RNAcentral
GAUCUUCUCCUUCAUGGGAGAUGAUUGAAAGAUGGUUUCGGCUAUCACUUACAGAUGGGCCCGCGGUGCAUUAGCUAGUUGGUGAGGUAACGGCUCACCAAGGCAACGAUGCAUAGCCGACCUGAGAGGGUGAUCGGCCACACUGGGACUGAGACACGGCCCAGACUCCUACGGGAGGCAGCAGUAGGGAAUCUUCCGCAAUGGACGAAAGUCUGACGGAGCAACGCCGCGUGAGUGAUGAAGGCUUUCGGGUCGUAAAACUCUGUUGUAUAGGGAAGAACAAGUACAAGAGUAACUGCUUGUACCUUGACGGUACCUAACCAGAAAGCCACGGCUAACUACGUGCCAGCAGCCGCGGUAAUACGUAGGUGGCAAGCGUUAUCCGUCGAAUUAUUGGGCGUAAAGCGCGCGCAGGCGGUUUCUUAAGUCUGAUGUGAAAGCCCACGGCUCAACCGUGGAGGGUCAUUGGAAACUGGGGAACUUGAGUGCAGAAGAGAAAAGCGGAAUUCCACGUGACUAGCGGUGACAAUGCGUAGAGAUGUGGAGGUAACACCAGUGGCGAAGGCGGCUUUUUGGUCUGUAACUGACGCU